GUCUACGGCCAUUCCACCCUGAACAUGCCCGAUCUCAUCUAAUCUCGGAAGCUAAGCAGGGUUAGGCCUGAUUAGUACUUGGAUGGGAGACAACCUAGGAAUACCAGGUGCUGUAGGCA
This 119-nucleotide ribosomal RNA is filed under the name Pteropus alecto (black flying fox). Lineage: Eukaryota; Metazoa; Chordata; Mammalia; Chiroptera; Pteropodidae. The record is from RNAcentral.